GUAUUGUGGGAAAUAAAUGGCUCUUCCACAAAAAAUUCCACGUCAGCAAGGCUCUUUGAACAAUUCUUUUUGAAAUCGGUUCUAACUACAGCCAGUUAGCAGUUUAAUGUUGAAAUGUAUACUUGCUCUCCUAUAAAGCAGUAUUUCGUUUGCAUUUCAGUGCUGUGAGUCUUGACAAAUUUGGGAAGAGCCCGAGGGAAAUUUUUCAUCCUGAGAUACAGAAGGGACCUGUGAAUUUUAAAUUUGGAGUCCUUUAUGCUAAGGGUGGGCAGCUUACAGAUGAUGAAAUGUUCAGCGAUGUGUGCGUUCCCACAAUUAAGUGGUGUCGAGCUGAAGGGGACUACAAUGGAAUGGUGAUGGAGCCGUUUGGACCGAGUCUUGAAGAUCUCUUCAGUUUUUGUUCAAGGAAAUUUAGUCUCGAGACAGUCCUAUUACUCGCUGACCAAAUGAUUAGUUGAAUUGAAUACGUUCACUCUGAGAACUUCAUCCACUGAGAUGUGAAGCCAGACAACUUCUUAAUGGGCCUUGGGAAGAAAGGCAAUCUUGUCUACAUAAUAGACUCUGGGUUAGCAAAGAAGUAGCGAGACUCUCAAACUCACCAACAUAUCCCAUAUCGUGAAAAUAAAAACUUAGCAGGAACCGCCUGUUAUGCAUCCAUCAACACGCAUCUUGGAAUCAGCGAGC
Molecule: long non-coding RNA, 684 nt
Organism: Falco peregrinus (peregrine falcon)
Lineage: Eukaryota; Metazoa; Chordata; Aves; Falconiformes; Falconidae
Exons: 4
Source: RefSeq, a predicted model, not a curated record